CCUACGGGGGGCAGCAGUAGGGAAUUUUCCACAAUGGGCGAAAGCCUGAUGGAGCAACGCCGCGUGCAGGAUGAAGGCUUUCGGGUCGUAAACUGCUUUUCUACGAGAUUCGGUAGGUCAGGAAUAAGGGUCUGCUAACUACGUGCCAGCAGCCGCGGUCAUACGUGGGACCCAAGCGUUAUCCGGAAUUACUGGGCGUAAAGAGUGCGUAGGUGGCAGAGUAAGCAAGAUAUGAAAGCGUGUGGCUCAACCAUACAUGCAUAUUUUGAACUGCUCAGCUAGAGUAUGGGAGAGGUAGAUGGAAUUUCUAGUGUAGGAGUGAAAUCCGUAGAUAUUAGAAGGAACACCGAUGGCGUAGGCAGUCUACUGGCCAUACUGACACUAAGGCACGAAAGCGUGGGGAGCGAACGGGAUUAGAUACCCUUGUAGUC
This 431-nucleotide ribosomal RNA is filed under the name uncultured bacterium. RNAcentral's name for it is "partial 16S ribosomal RNA". It matches the Rfam family "Bacterial small subunit ribosomal RNA", at positions 338 to 795 of the family's 1533-position model. The record is from RNAcentral.